CUGAAAACCCGCUGAAUCGUUCCUCUUGACGGGUCUCUUCUCUGCAGCCACAAGUGUCUGAGUGUGGAGGAAGGUGUUCUACACGUGUAAUACCUGCAGGACCAUCCUUGAUGUUUACCUGUGAAAUUCUUCCUCUUUCACAGGAGUGAAGAACGUUUUCAUUUCACACAUUCUGCCAUCUGAGAAGUUUUCUUUGGUGACAAAUGUUUGCUCGUGCUUUAUCCUGAUAAGAUAAAUGUCACUUUUCUAAAAUCCAGCAAUCUUCUCCUCUCUUUUGUUCUAUAUUUCACUCUCUCAUCGUCCAUUUUCCUCUUCAUCUUCAUCUCUCCCAAUGUGUCCUUUCCUCUCGUCUUUCCUCUCCUCGCCCGUAUUCCUCCUCUCUCCUCCCCACUUUUCCUCCUCAAACACGUCUCCUCUUUUCCUGCGUCUCUUUCACUCAUUUUAACUCACCUCCUCCCUCCUCUGCUUGACUCCUCCUCUACUUCCCUUCCUCCUCCUUUCAUCAAGCCUUCCUCCCUCCUCUCCCUUACCGCCUCUCCUGCUCCCAUGAACUCCUCCCUUUUCCCUCUCUUCCCAGCAUCUGUCCUCCUUUCCUUUUCUCCUUUUUUAAACUGCUCUUCCAGGUUUUCCUUUCCCCUUUUAAUCUUGUCUCCUCUUUCCUCGGCUUGUUUUCCUCCUUCAUCCUUUCAUCUUCCUCCUUCUCCUCGUCGCCGCUUUGAUCCCAAUGUGCCAAAAAAAAUCCCCAGCAGAUCCUCCUUUUUAACUCUGUUCACUUUCAGUCCUUCAGCUGGCGAAUUAGAAGACACUUUAUUUAAAUAAAAUACACUCGCUGUUUGUUUUCAAAGUGUCUGUACCUGACCCGUGCGUGUGUGUGUGUGUGUGUGUGUGUGUGUGUGUGAUCUCUCAUCUGACUGCCUCGUGUCAUCGGUACAUUUCUCCUCUCCAUCCUAAUUCCCCCCGGAGACGUUCGACUGAGGGACAGAAAUAUCUAUGCAAAUAUAUUCAGAUAAGUCUCGUUAAAAAAAAUAAGAAUGUAAAUAGGAAAUGGUCCUUCUCAUAAACCUGGAAUUUACAUGAAAGUGAAGCACACGAUGAAGGAAGCGUGAAAGUAAUGAGGCAUCUUAAGGCGUUUCAUUUGAGAUAUUUUGGACCUUCAGGGAUUUUAAACCUCUUCAAGUGGCGUGUAAACGACCUCUGGAUCAUUACUUCCCUUCUGGUUUGACCUUUAUGAACUUUAAGUAAGAUCCCGUUCCGGUAUUUAUUAUUCUAUUUCUUUGUUUAAUAGCCCGUUGUGUCUCUCUCUUUAACCCGUGUUGCCAAAAACGUUCCUAACUUUCAUUUAUGAAACACACGUGAAGAUGACAUGCACAUGCAAAGACACGUGAUACGUGUGCAGUGUUCAUUCAUUUAACAGCACGUCACAAGUAUUUUACAGAUUUAGUUUGAUGUUUUAACGGAGAAUAUUUUCCCACAGUGGCUUCACACCUCAAACAAUCUGCUAAAAGUCUCAUCUGG
Long non-coding RNA from Gasterosteus aculeatus aculeatus (three-spined stickleback), 1515 nucleotides. NCBI's taxonomy places the organism in Eukaryota, Metazoa, Chordata, Actinopteri, Perciformes, Gasterosteidae. The record is from Ensembl.